UACGGAGGAUGCGAGCGUUAUCCGGAUUUAUUGGGUUUAAAGGGUGCGUAGGCGGACGCUUAAGACAGCGGUAAAAUUGCGGGGCUCAACCUCGUCGAGCCGUUGAAACUGGGUGCCUUGAGUGGGCGAGAAGUACGCGGAAUGCGUGGUGUAGCGGUGAAAUGCAUAGAUAUCACGCAGAACUCCGAUUGCGAAGGCAGCGUACCGGCGCCCUACUGACGCUGAAGCACGAAGGCGUGGGUAUCGAACAGG
Molecule: ribosomal RNA, 252 nt
Filed under: uncultured bacterium
Lineage: Bacteria
Description: partial 16S ribosomal RNA
Rfam family: Bacterial small subunit ribosomal RNA
Source: RNAcentral